AAGCGCUUGUGACCAGACUUGGGCGCGGCGGAUCAUCCGGGGUUCUCUCCGGUGCACUUCGCCGCGUCUAGGCCAGCAUCAGUUCGUCGCGGGGGAAAAAGGCUUCGGGAACGUGGCUCCUCCGGGAGUGUUAUAGCCCACCGUGUAAUACCCUGGGGGGGACUGAGGUUCGCGCAUCUGCAAGGAUGCUGGCGUAAUGGUCAUCAACGA
Molecule: ribosomal RNA, 210 nt
Filed under: Trichoderma sp.
Lineage: Eukaryota; Fungi; Ascomycota; Sordariomycetes; Hypocreales; Hypocreaceae
Description: partial large subunit ribosomal RNA
Source: RNAcentral